GCGGUCGUGGUGUAGUGGUAGCACAAGAGCCUUCCAAGCUCUUAGGGCCAGUUCGAGUCUGGUCGACCGCUCCA
RNAcentral lists this transfer RNA (74 nucleotides) under Alphaproteobacteria bacterium. RNAcentral's name for it is "tRNA-Gly". It matches the Rfam family "tRNA". From Rfam's summary of the family: Transfer RNA (tRNA) molecules are approximately 80 nucleotides in length. Their secondary structure includes four short double-helical elements and three loops (D, anti-codon, and T loops). Lineage: Bacteria; Pseudomonadati; Pseudomonadota; Alphaproteobacteria. The record is from RNAcentral. RNAcentral also lists the same sequence under 7 other names.